Molecule: non-coding RNA, 29 nt
Filed under: Homo sapiens (human)
Lineage: Eukaryota; Metazoa; Chordata; Mammalia; Primates; Hominidae
Source: RNAcentral
UGACUUGAGAAAGGUGUGCCAAGGGCGUC